Molecule: ribosomal RNA, 258 nt
Filed under: uncultured archaeon
Lineage: Archaea
Description: partial 16S ribosomal RNA
Rfam family: Archaeal small subunit ribosomal RNA
Source: RNAcentral
CAGCCGUAAACAAUGUGCGUUAGGUGUGUCGGUAACCACGUGUUACUGAUGCGCCGAAGAGAAAUCGUGAAACGCACCACCUGGGAAGUACGGUCGCAAGGCUGAACUUAAAGGAUUGGCGGGGGAGCACCACAACAGGUGGAGCCUGCGGUUAAUUGGAUUCGACGCCGGACAUCUCACCGGAUAAGACAGCUGAAUGAUUGUCAAUCUGAAGGUUUUACAUGACUAGCUGAGAGGUGGUGCAUGGCGUCAGUGACU